GAUGAAGAACGUAGCGAAAUGCGAUAAGUAAUGUGAAUUGCAGAAUUCAGUGAAUCAUCGAAUCUUUGAACGCAUCUUGCGCUCCUUGGUAUUCCGAGGAGCAUGCCUGUUUGAGUGUCAUUUUACAAUUAUCAAACCACUUGACGGUGGCUUUGGAUGUGGGGGGCUAUUUUUUUGCAGGCUUUUAUCCUCAAGUCUGCUCCCCUGAAAUAAAUUAGUGGUGUCUGGAGUGGAAACCGCCAGGUGUGAUAAUCUAUCGUCUACACCUUUGGGUAUGCCACGUGAAAAACAGAUUGUGCUGCUUCCAACGCAACCUGACCCUUUAUGACAAACUUGACCUCAAAUCAGGUAGGACUACCCGCUGAACUUAAGCAUAUCAAUAAGCGGAGGA
RNAcentral lists this unclassified non-coding RNA (391 nucleotides) under soil metagenome. RNAcentral describes it as "partial contains 5.8S ribosomal RNA, internal transcribed spacer 2, and large subunit ribosomal RNA". The stretch from base 1 to 120 matches the Rfam family "5.8S ribosomal RNA", at positions 35 to 154 of the family's 154-position model. The record is from RNAcentral.